CUUCCUGGGAGUGAUGUUUCCUGGGAGUGACAUAUUUCUUCUUCUUCCCAGAAUGCUUCUCUCUCUCUCGCUCUCUGACCACCAUGUACCCAGCAGCUAAGUAUAGGUCUUUCCUAUCAUUAUGUACUUCUCAAUAACUUUAAAUGGAUCUCCAUGCUUAUCAUUUACAAGCUGUUGCCCCGAGGCCCUGUUAGCUUCUGCUGUAAGGGGAGCGAGUUAGCUCCUGAAAUACUCUGCUAUAUAUAUUUAAGUAAAGGUAGAGUGUGCCGUCAAGUCGGUUUCGACUCCUGGCAACCCCAGAGCCCUGUGGUUGUCUUUGGUAGAAUACAGGAGGGUUUUACCAUUGCCUCCUGCUGUGCAGUAUGGGAUGAUGCCUUUCAGCAUCUUCCUAUAUCGCUGCUGCCCGACAUAGGUGUUCAUACCAGCGAGGAUUUAAACCGGCAACCUCAUGCUUGCUAAGCAAGUCAUUUCCCUGCUGUGCCAUUUGGGCACCCCAGCCUCAUAGCAAUAGCAAUAGCACUUACAUUUAUAUACCGCUUUAUAGCCGAAGCUCUCUAAGCGGUUUACAAUGAUUUAGCAUAUUGCCCCCCAACAAUAUGCUCAUUUUACCGACCUCGGAAGGAUGGAAGGCUGAGUCAACCUUGAGCCCCUGGUCAGGAUCGAACUUGUAACCUUCUGGUUACAGGGCGGCAGUUUUACCACUGCGCCACCAGGGGCUCAUACUUCAAAUAUUGCUUAUUAUCUCCAACAGUGACAGAGGGCUGGCAACAGGGAUGUGGGGUGGCACUCAUAUCAGGGAGUGGAGUGCCUGCACUUGCUGCCUCAUGGUACACUCAUCACUGGCGGUAACUGUCUGACCCUGUCUCAUUAUAGGUCUAUUCCUGGUGAAGGUCUCCAACAGGGGAGUGGGUGAUAUUUCCCCUUUCCCAUACUGGAGAUCUUAGGACAUGUAAUGUAUGGGACUUUUGCAUCCAUCCUGAGUAUACUUCCAGUCCCUGUGCUAGGCUUUUAUGUGCAUGUCUGGAGUGGACUGAGGAAUCCAUGGUGGAUUCUAAGACCCACUCCAGAGCUUUGGCAGAGGAUGGAAUAAUUCCUCUUUCCACCAAAACUUCAUUGAGAAGGAAGCAUUUACACCCACUCUGGUUCUUCAUAUGUUGCAAGUGAUUAUAUGCAUAUGGAUGCUGAGAUAUUCUAGCACAGGCCUGCACAACUUUGGCCCUCCAGCUGUUUGGGACACAGUGGCCAACAGUCAGACAUGAUGGGAGUUGUAGUCCCACAUCUGCAGGAGAGCUAAAGUUGUGCUAGCCCUGUACCAGCAUUUCAGCAUGCAUACAUAGAUAGUUACUAUGUGCAUAUUUAAAUCAGGGUGGCAACCAGCUUGGUAUGAAAUAACACCCCAAAAGAUUAGUGUGAAUCAUGUCUUUGAGCAAGCUGGAAGUGCUCUUAAUGAUCUGAAUCUCAGCUAUCCUGCUGCUCCAUCUGCAGCAUCUCUCCUAAUUUAAUAUCUUAUUUCAGACACAAAAUGGUGCAUCUUGUUUUCUUAUUCCUAAUCCAUUUAGCACAAAAGAAACAAUGCAUCAAUCAACAGAAACUUAAAUCAACAGCUUACUCAGCACAAACCCUUUUUAAGAUAAUAUACACCAAUUUGCCGUCCAUCUCGGCUCCCCAAAGAGGUCAUUUGUCAGAAGACUCCAGUGAAUGACAUUUUUCACCAUUGUGAUGCUUUACAUUUCGCUUGGCUGCCACCCAAGAAUGAGAAAUAAAGUAAAGUCUUAUGAUUACAAAGAAGCAAUGUGAGUCAAAUUGUCACAGUGUGUGACCUUGUGGAAAAUAAUACAAUUAGGUGGAGCUGAGUGGCAGAACAAAUACUUGACUUUGACCUCCUGCUUCCUCCUGGUCCUUGACUCCUGUCUUGGCUCUCUGGUUCCUGGCAGAUUUAUUUGGCUCAACUCCUGGCAUGUCCUUGGUUCCUGCCACCACCCUCCAGCUCUAGUUCAUAUACCUGGCUGGCCCCAGUGUUCCUGAUUCUCCCAGCCUGGCUUUUGGGCUCACACUCUAUGUUCAUUUUUGACAGCUAACAGAAGAAUCUGCAAUGAAAAACACUCAGUACUAUGAAGUUCCAUCUCAACUUCUGCUGUGUGAAUAAGAUGUAAGAUUUAUCUCUGAAAGUUUGACGUUGCCAUAUUUACUACAUAAAACACAGCUUUCUACAACAUGGACAUUCAAUGUUUAUAAGAACCUAUAAACAGGAUCCAAUUCACCAAUAUAUUUCCAGAUGUUAACAGGAUUCAGAAUUCACACAGAAGUUGUCCUGCAACCUAGCAUAUCGUCACAUGCACACCGGGAAAAUAAGAUCUCCAAAGUCAAGCUUUGUACCAUUUUGCUCUGUAAACAAAAAGUAGUUGAAGCAACCCAAACAAUCUAUUGAUGUUGCCUUCAGGUUUCUUUUUUUCCCUCAUCAAGCAUCAAAACAAACAUUAAACCUCCCUGUGAAAAUGUUUUCAGACUCUA
This is a long non-coding RNA of Hemicordylus capensis (graceful crag lizard), 2511 nucleotides long. RefSeq lists it as uncharacterized. The record is from RefSeq and is a predicted model, not a curated record. The transcript is spliced from 4 exons. NCBI's taxonomy places the organism in Eukaryota, Metazoa, Chordata, Lepidosauria, Squamata, Cordylidae.